RNAcentral lists this ribosomal RNA (497 nucleotides) under uncultured bacterium. RNAcentral describes it as "partial 16S ribosomal RNA". It matches the Rfam family "Bacterial small subunit ribosomal RNA", at positions 28 to 507 of the family's 1533-position model. The record is from RNAcentral.
GAUGAACGCUGGCGGCGUGCCUAAUACAUGCAAGUCGAGCGAACAGACGAGGAGCUUGCUCCUCUGACGUUAGCGGCGGACGGGUGAGUAACACGUGGAUAACCUACCUAUAAGACUGGGAUAACUUCGGGAAACCGGAGCUAAUACCGGAUAAUAUAUUGAACCGCAUGGUUCAAUAGUGAAAGACGGUUUUGCUGUCACUUAUAGAUGGAUCCGCGCCGCAUUAGCUAGUUGGUAAGGUAACGGCUUACCAAGGCAACGAUGCGUAGCCGACCUGAGAGGGUGGUCGGCCACACUGGAACUGAGACACGGACCAGACUACUACGGGAGGCAGCAGUAGGGAAUCUUCCGCAAUGGGCGAAAGCCUGACGGAGCAACGCCGCGUGAGUGAUGACGGUCUUCGGAUCGUAAAACUCUGUUAUUAGGGAAGAACAAAUGUGUAAGUAACUAUGCACGUCUUGACGGUACCUAGUCAGAAAGCCACGGCUAACUACGUG